RNAcentral lists this small RNA (129 nucleotides) under Marmota monax (woodchuck). The record is from RNAcentral. Lineage: Eukaryota; Metazoa; Chordata; Mammalia; Rodentia; Sciuridae.
GCUGGGCAUGGUGGUGCAUGCCUGUAAUCCCAGCGGCUGAAGAGGCUGAGGCAGGAGGAUUGCAAGUUUGAGAGACCAGCCUCAGCAACUUAGUGAGGCCCUAAGCAAUUUAGUAAGACUUUGUCUCAA